This 451-nucleotide ribosomal RNA is filed under the name uncultured bacterium. RNAcentral's name for it is "bacterial SSU rRNA". It matches the Rfam family "Bacterial small subunit ribosomal RNA", at positions 354 to 796 of the family's 1533-position model. The record is from RNAcentral.
GUGGGGAAUAUUGGACAAUGGGCGGAAGCCUGAUCCAGCCAUGCCGCGUGUGUGAAGAAGGCCUUUUGGUUGUAAAGCACUUUAAGCGAGGAGGAGGCUCUUAAGGUUAAUACCCUUGAUGAGUGGACGUUACUCGCAGAAUAAGCACCGGCUAACUCUGUGCCAGCAGCCGCGGUAAUACAGAGGGUGCGAGCGUUAAUCGGAUUUACUGGGCGUAAAGCGUGCGUAGGCGGCUGAUUAAGUCGGAUGUGAAAUCCCUGAGCUUAACUUAGGAAUUGCAUUCGAUACUGGUCAGCUAGAGUAUGGGAGAGGAUGGUAGAAUUCCAGGUGUAGCGGUGAAAUGCGUAGAGAUCUGGAGGAAUACCGAUGGCGAAGGCAGCCAUCUGGCCUAAUACUGACGCUGAGGUACGAAAGCAUGGGGAGCAAACAGGAUUAGAAACCCCAGUAGUCC